UAAGGAAUAUUGGUCAAUGGACGCAAGUCUGAACCAGCCAUGCCGCGUGGAGGAUGAAGGCCCUCUGGGUUGUAAACUUCUUUUAUCUGGGACGAAACCUGGGUAUUCCUACUCAGUUGACGGUACCAGAGGAAUAAGCACCGGCUAACUCCGUGCCAGCAGCCGCGGUAAUACGGAGGGUGCAAGCGUUAUCCGGAUUCACUGGGUUUAAAGGGUGCGUAGGAGGGCAGGUAAGUCAGUGGUGAAAUCCUAGGGCUUAACCCUAGAACUGCCGUUGAUACUAUCGGUCUUGAAUACCGUGGAGGUGAGCGGAAUAUGUCAUGUAGCGGUGAAAUGCUUAGAUAUGACAUAGAACACCAAUUGCGAAGGCAGCUUGCUACACGUUUUAUUGACUCUGAGGCACGAAAGCGUGGGGAUCAAACAGGAUUAGAUACCCUGGUAGUCCACGCCCUAAACGAUGGAUACUCGACAUACGCGAUACACUGUGUGUGUCUGAGCGAAAGC
RNAcentral lists this ribosomal RNA (504 nucleotides) under uncultured bacterium. RNAcentral describes it as "bacterial SSU rRNA". It matches the Rfam family "Bacterial small subunit ribosomal RNA", at positions 355 to 858 of the family's 1533-position model. The record is from RNAcentral.